GCACGGAGUUAGCCGAUCCUUAUCUUACAGUACCGUCAAGACUGGUUCACGAACCAGUGUUUCUUCCUGUACAAAAGCAGUUUACAAUCCAUAGGACCGUCAUCCUGCACGCGGCAUGGCUGGAUCAGGCUUGCGCCCAUUGUCCAAUAUUCCUCA
Molecule: ribosomal RNA, 156 nt
Filed under: uncultured bacterium
Lineage: Bacteria
Description: partial 16S ribosomal RNA
Source: RNAcentral